Molecule: long non-coding RNA, 1143 nt
Filed under: Anas platyrhynchos platyrhynchos (common mallard)
Lineage: Eukaryota; Metazoa; Chordata; Aves; Anseriformes; Anatidae
Description: lncRNA (ENSAPLG00000022717.1)
Source: RNAcentral
AUGAACAUGGUCCUCUGGAGGGCUGUGUAUAUGUGCAUGGGUGUGCAUCUCUGUGACUGUCUGAGUCAGGCAGUUUGCCUGCCUUACCCUGAAGAAGCACCCCUUCUCCUCUGCUUUUCUUCUUGCUCUGUUCCAGUCACCAAGGUUAUAUCCAGCAUAUAGCAACAGAGAGCAUAAUUAACACACUAAACAUUUGGCAGUAGUGGGGGAAGGUAAACGAGCCUUUGCAAAUGUGGGCACUGUGCCUUUGCCAAGUCAGCUGCCUUUUUAAGAGGCUGGGGCAUCUUGUCCAACACCGCAAUUACCACGUGUGUCAGCACGUGGGUUUGAAAGGCACAGAUUUCCCCUGAUGUGCUGCUUCUCUGCUCACCUGUUGCCAGAUUGCAUCUUUUCUGACUCACUGCUUCAGAAGUACAACUGAGCCCAUGCUGUGUUGAUUCCAAAAUACAGCAGCCUAUAGCCACUGAGACGUGUCUACAAGGGAACAGGCAGCAGCUGACACACUGAUGCUCUGCCUAAUAGCUUAGUCCAACAGUCAUUUGUGGAUAAUGGGUCUAAUUAAUUAGAUGAGAAACACUUGGUGUGUCUGAGCUACACCAGGAUAAUUGCUAAUAUGGGCACUUUACACAUUUGAGUCAACGUUUUGUGCAGCUGGUAUCUUAGGAGGAGAGGCACUUUGUACUGUUGUUCGUAUCUACCUACCCAUCAGGAGUGAGCCCUUCAGCUGCUAUACCUCGCAGAAUGCCCCUGCUUUCAGUGGAGAAGCGCCCAUUUUACCAAGCCUUCAGAGCAAAGCAUGGGAGGAGGCAGUUACACACAGGAACCUGCACUAUUAGGCCUAAUUAGAAACACUUACUAAGGGCAGGUGUUAGCUUUGUAACCUGAUGCAUGUUGUAAAGGAACUCUACAGUUUUCCUUAUUACCUUUGCUUUUCAGAUGUUAAAGACUUCUCUGCUUUGUUUUUCACAAAGUGACAUCAUCUACUGACAGAGGGCAGGGAAAUGCUGAUGAGACAAUAUGGAACAAGUUCUCUUAAUUGCUGUGUAUACCACAGCUCUUCUCUUGUCUCUGACAUUUGCCAGGUUAAGUACUCUUUUUGCUCUACAAAAGUCAUAAAGUUCAUUUAUAAGCGUAAAAAAGCCC